Molecule: ribosomal RNA, 402 nt
Filed under: bacterium
Lineage: Bacteria
Description: partial 16S ribosomal RNA
Rfam family: Bacterial small subunit ribosomal RNA
Source: RNAcentral
UGGGGAAUUUUGCACAAUGAGGGAAACCCUGAUGCAGCGACGCCGCGUGAUUUAGAAGGCCUUCGGGUUGUAAAAAUCUUUUCUAUGGGAAGAAAAUGACAGUACCAUAGGAAUAAGGACCGGCUAAUUACGUGCCAGCAGCCGCGGUAAUACGUAAGGUCCGAGCGUUGUCCGGAAUCAUUGGGCGUAAAGGGUACGUAGGCGGGUAAGCAAGUUAGAAGUGAAAUCCUAUAGCUCAACUAUAGUAAGCUUUUAAAACUGCUCAUCUUGAGGUAUGGAAGGGAAAGUGGAAUUCCUAGUGUAGCGGUGAAAUGCGCAGAUAUUAGGAGGAAUACCGGUGGCGAAGGCGACUUUCUGGCCAUAACCUGACGCUGAGGUACGAAAGCGUGGGUAGCAAACAGG